This is a non-coding RNA of Lates calcarifer (barramundi perch), 867 nucleotides long. The record is from the annotation of a RefSeq genome assembly. NCBI's taxonomy places the organism in Eukaryota, Metazoa, Chordata, Actinopteri, Centropomidae.
UUGGUUCAGUUAGCUGCAGCUGAGUUUGUGUCAUGGUGCCUCAUGUUGUGUGUAUGGAGGGAAUAACAAGAUGAUCUUUGGAAGUGGAACCAGAUUAAUCAUUGAACCCAGGGACGAAUACCGACCGUCCUACUAUGAACUGGAACAUGGUAAUACCAAGGUGUGCCUUGCCACUGGAUACAGCAGACAAAAGGCAACAGAAAAACAUCCCCUCUUUAAUGACACGGAUAUUACAAACAGGGCCGUUCGGAUAGAAGGAGACUCCCUGUUCAACAAUGUGGUUUUCUUAAAUCGUUCAGAUGAAAUCCUAUGUGAAAACGAGACUAAACCUGAGGGAGAGACUCCAUGUGUCGAUAUGGUUGAGAAAGAUCCGACGGUGAACACAAUGGCUCUGACCAUGCUGGUCCUCAGAGUGAUCUUCAUCAAGACCAUCGUCUUCAACCUCCUGAUGACUCUGCGGCUGUGGAUCAGUCACUAACUCGACCGACCUUCACCAGAAGAAAACUCCAAGAUGACAAAUUUGAUGACCAUUGGAUCAAUUUGAUGAAAAAUCAUUUUCAUCUGCUUCUGUAUUGUGUAUAAAUAUCAUAUGAGCUGUUCAUCAUACGUCUGUUAACAUCAUCAUACUGUAUUACAUGUAGUGUUUAUUGAUAAGUUUAAGUUAGUUUUUUUGUCAUAUUGUCAGUGAUGUUGUUUUUGAUGGAGGUUUUACUCUUCCUGUCGUGCUGAUGUAAAUAUCACAGUUACAUUUAACAGUCUGAGCGACUGUCCAGCUUCCUGUAAAACUCAAGAAAAACUUUUAAAAACAGUGCUGUGUGAAAUUUACUGUGUGAUACUGUUACAAUAAAAACUGAAAUCAGACUGAAA